This 301-nucleotide ribosomal RNA is filed under the name uncultured bacterium. RNAcentral describes it as "partial 16S ribosomal RNA". It matches the Rfam family "Bacterial small subunit ribosomal RNA", at positions 509 to 809 of the family's 1533-position model. The record is from RNAcentral.
CAGUCGCCGCGGUAAUACGUAGGUGGCAAGCGUUAUCCGGAAUUAUUGGGCGUAAAGCGCGCGUAGGCGGUUUCUUAAGUCUGAUGUGAAAGCCCACGGCUCAACCGUGGAGGGUCAUUGGAAACUGGGAAACUUGAGUGCAGAAGAGGAAAGUGGAAUUCCAUGUGUAGCGGUGAAAUGCGCAGAGAUAUGGAGGAACACCAGUGGCGAAGGCGACUUUCUGGUCUGUAACUGACGCUGAUGUGCGAAAGCGUGGGGAUCAAACAGGAUUAGAUACCCCUGUAGUCCCUGUCUCUUAUAU